RNAcentral lists this ribosomal RNA (443 nucleotides) under uncultured bacterium. RNAcentral's name for it is "partial 16S ribosomal RNA". It matches the Rfam family "Bacterial small subunit ribosomal RNA", at positions 338 to 795 of the family's 1533-position model. The record is from RNAcentral.
CCUACGGGAGGCAGCAGUGGGGAAUAUUGGGCAAUGGAGGAAACUCUGACCCAGCAACGCCGCGUGAAUGAUGAAGGUCUUCGGAUUGUAAAGCUCUUUUCUAAGGGAAGAAGAAAGUGACGGUACCUUAGGAAUAAGCCUCGGCUAACUACGGGCAAGCAGCCGCGGCAAUACGUAGGAGGCAAGCGUUAUUCGGAAGGACUGGGCGUAAAGGGUGCGUCGGUGGUUUGUCAAGUUGGUAGCGAAACUCCGGGGCUCAACCUCGGCACGACUCCCAAAACUGUCGGACUAGAGUGCAGGAGGGGCAAAGGGAAUGCCUAGUGUAGCGGUGGAAUGCGUAGAUAUUAGGAGGAACACCAGUGGCGAAGGCGAUUUGCUGGACUGUAACUGACGCUGAGGCACGAAAGCGUGGGGAGCAAACAGGAUUAGAUACCCUAGUAGUC